RNAcentral lists this microRNA (21 nucleotides) under Bovine alphaherpesvirus 5. RNAcentral's name for it is "bhv5-miR-B8". Its record names the gene bhv5-miR-B8. The record is from miRBase by way of RNAcentral. Lineage: Duplodnaviria; Heunggongvirae; Peploviricota; Herviviricetes; Herpesvirales; Orthoherpesviridae.
CGCGGCGAAAAAAUCUAAUGG